UAGCUGCAUAUGCAUUAGAAGAUGGC
Molecule: non-coding RNA, 26 nt
Filed under: Mus musculus (house mouse)
Lineage: Eukaryota; Metazoa; Chordata; Mammalia; Rodentia; Muridae
Source: RNAcentral